This is a long non-coding RNA of Plodia interpunctella (Indianmeal moth), 790 nucleotides long. RefSeq lists it as uncharacterized. NCBI's taxonomy places the organism in Eukaryota, Metazoa, Arthropoda, Insecta, Lepidoptera, Pyralidae. The transcript has 2 exons. The record is from RefSeq and is a predicted model, not a curated record.
UUAUUUAUAGUGCUGGUUACCCAUCUCGUUUGACAGUCAGAUGGUAUUGUCCAGCCUGUAUAUAAGAUGUGACCGAAAAAAUGUGGCCAUUAGUCAGCGGAUAUUUGUAGUGACGCCAACUCGUUAGACAAUAUUCCCUACAUCACCAACAUGUACAAACUGGUAAUUCUCUUCGCCCUGGUGGCUGCGAGCGCGGCCGCCCCCGCCCCCUCCCCCGGCGCUGUCUUGGCCUACUCUGCACCAGCGCUGGUGUCUCCCGCAGUAGUGUCUUCAGUGGUCUCCCCCGCGGUCACGAGCUACUCCAGCUACUCAAACAGUGUCGUCCAUGGCUCGCCACUAGUCUCGCUGCGACAAGUCCCCGUACCAGUGGUUCACUCCCCCGUCGUUCACGCUGUACCUUUAAGCUACUCUAGGGUAGUCCAACCCCUAUUACUAUAAAAUAACAACUUCGGACCUCAGGAUACAGUUGAAUUUAUGGAAUCCAAUGAAUCGAAAAUCCGUUGAAAUUUGGUAGUAAUAGUCGCUAACUGAAACUUAGAGUGAGUUGCACCAGUCAACUUUGACGUUGAGUUUAAACUCACGCUGACGUUUGGCCUACUUUACGUUAAAGUUUAACCGGUGCAAUUCAUUGAUUUUAAUAGUGAUGUUUGAAUUUAAAUUUUAAUAAUUAUUUCAAAUCAUGUUAAUCAGUACAAGUAGGUAGUCGUUUAAGUUUGUUAGUAAGAAGUUAGUUAAAUUUAAAAUAGCUUUGAAUAAAAAAUAUAUAAAAGAAAAUUAACUGUUCACGAUA